UACGUAGGGGGCGAGCGUUGUCCGAAUUUACUGGGCGUAAAGGGCGCGUAGGCGGCCCCGUAAGUUCUCUGUGAAAUCUCCCGGCUUAACCGGGAGGGUGCGGGGAAUACUGCGGGGCUUGAGGGCAGCAGAGGAAAGCGGAAUUCCCGGUGUAGUGGUGAAAUGCGUAGAUAUCGGGAGGAACACCAGUGGCGAAGGCGGCUUUCUGGGCUGUUUCUGACGCUGAGGCGCGAAAGCGUGGGGAGCAAACCGG
Molecule: non-coding RNA, 253 nt
Filed under: uncultured bacterium
Lineage: Bacteria
Also listed under: 1 other name
Description: partial 16S ribosomal RNA
Rfam family: Bacterial small subunit ribosomal RNA
Source: RNAcentral